Molecule: ribosomal RNA, 979 nt
Filed under: marine metagenome
Description: bacterial SSU rRNA
Rfam family: Bacterial small subunit ribosomal RNA
Source: RNAcentral
UAGCGGUUGGGUGUAACAGUACGAAUGGUGUGAUAGUUGCGGAUAGCGUGUGUGUAGUAGGAGGAUUAAUACCAGUCUAUUCGUCGGCAGCGUAAGAUGGGUGUAAGAGACAGAAGAUGAGCAGCGAAGGCGGCUCUUUGGUAAAAACUGACGUUGAGGGACGAAAGUGUAGGUAGCAAACAGGAUUAGAUACCCUGGUAGUCUACACUGUAAAUUCUGAGUGCUGUAAUUUAACAUAAAUUAUGUUGGAUUUUUUAAGCUAACGCCAUAAGCACUCCGCCUGAGUAGUACGGUCGCAAGAUUGGAACUCAAAGGAAUUGACGGGGGCCUACAACAAGUGGUGGAGCAUGUGGUUUAAUGCGAUAAUCCGCGCAAAACCUUACCAACCUUUGACAUAUAAAUUACUUAAAAUUUAUUUUAUAAUAAUAUAUAAAAUUUAAGUUAUAUUUUUUACAGGUGUUGCACGACUGUCGUCAGCUCGUGUCGUAAGAUGUUUGGUUCAUUCCUUUAACGAGCGCAACUCUUAUCUUUAUUACGUUUUUUACUUUUAAAUAACUCAUUAUAAGUGAGUUUUUUAAAGCUUUAAAAGAUACUAUCAAUGAUAAAUUGAAGGAAGGUGAGAAUUAAGUCAAGUCCCUGUGGCCCUUAUAGGUUGGGCUACACACGUGCUACAAUGAAAAUUACAGAAAGUUACAAAAUAAGUUAAUUCAAGUUAAUCUUUAAAAAUUUUCCCAGUUCGGAUUAUAAACUGCAACUCGUUUAUAUGAAGUUGGAAUCACUAGUAAUCGCAAAUCAGCAUGUUGCGGUGAAUAUGUAUCUUGGCCUUGUACACACCGCCCGUCACAUGCAGAGAAUUAGUUUUAUUUGAAGUUUUUAAUUGUAAUAUUAAAAUUUAGUUUUUUAAUUUACAAAAAACCAUUGAGAAAUUAAUAAUUUGGAUGAAGUCGUAACAAGGUAGCUGUACGGGAACGUGUAGCUG